Small nuclear RNA from Callithrix jacchus (white-tufted-ear marmoset), 94 nucleotides. NCBI's taxonomy places the organism in Eukaryota, Metazoa, Chordata, Mammalia, Primates, Cebidae. The record is from Ensembl.
UUGCUUUGGCAGCACAGACACUAAAAUUGGAACGAUACAGAGAAGAUUAGGAUGACACACAAAUUCAUGAAGUGUUCCACAAAAAAAUCUUUUU